Molecule: ribosomal RNA, 350 nt
Filed under: uncultured bacterium
Lineage: Bacteria
Description: partial 16S ribosomal RNA
Source: RNAcentral
ACGCUAUCUGGAGGUUACCGCGGCUGCUGGCACGGAGUUAGCCGGUGCUUCUUCUGCGAGUAACGUCACAGCUAGCAGGUAUUAACUACUAACCUUUCCUCCUCGCUGAAAGUGCUUUACAACCCGAAGGCCUUCUUCACACACGCGGCAUGGCUGCAUCAGGGUUUCCCCCAUUGUGCAAUAUUCCCCACUGCUGCCUCCCGUAGGAGUCUGGGCCGUAGUCUCAGUCCCAGUGUGGCUGAUCAUCCUCUCAGACCAGCUAGGGAUCGUUGCCUAGGUGAGCCAUUACCUCACCUACUAGCCUAAUCCCACCUGGGCUUAUCCAUCAGCGCAAGGCCGAAGUUCCCCUG